AGGUCCGGGAUAACCCCGGGAAACUGGGGAUAAUACCGGAUAAAUCACAAAUACUGGAAUGGUUUUGUGGUUGAAACUUCCGGGGCCUUUGGAUGGGUCUGCGGCUGAUUAGGUUGUUGCCGGUGUAACGUACCGUCAAGCCUGUAAUCAGUACGGGUUGUGGGAGCAAGAGCCCGGAGAUGGAUUCUGAGACACGAAUCCAGGCCCUACGGGGCGCAGCAGGCGCAAAAACUCUACAAUGCAGGCAACUGCGAUAGGGGAACAUCGAGUGAUACUCAUCUUGGGUGUCUGUCCUCCCGUCUAAAAAACGGGAGUUAGCAAGGGCCGGGCAAGACCGGUGCCAGCCGCCGCGGUAAUACCGGCGGCUCGAGUGGUGGCCGAUAUUAUUGAGUCUAAAGGGUCCGUAGCCGGCUUUGCAAGUCUUUUGGGAAAUCCAGCGGCUUAACCGUUGGUCGUCCGGGAGAUACUACAUUGCUUGGGACUGGGAGAGGUAGGAGGUACUCAGGGGGUAGGAGUGAAAUCCUGUAAUCCUUUGGGGACCACCGGUGGCGAAGGCGUCCUACCAGAACAGGUCCGACGGUGAGGGACGAAAGCUAGGGGCACGAACCGGAUUAGAUACCCGGGUAGUCCUAGCCGUAAACGAUGCUCGCUAGGUGUCACAACAAUCGUGAAUUGUUGUGGUGCCGUAGGGAAGCCGUGAAGCGAGCCACUUGGGAAGUACGACCGCAAGGUUGAAACUU
RNAcentral lists this ribosomal RNA (740 nucleotides) under unidentified archaeon. RNAcentral describes it as "bacterial SSU rRNA". It matches the Rfam family "Archaeal small subunit ribosomal RNA", at positions 117 to 857 of the family's 1478-position model. The record is from RNAcentral.